UUCCUUUGUCUUUGAAGACCCACAGACCAGCAGGCACCCCUGCAGGCAUCCCUCCCCAGGUCAAACCUCCCCUGCCUGGGCUCUGGCUGCCCUCCUGGGCCAGUUCUGUCUUGGCCAAGGUGCUCCCUGUCCACUCAAGGUCUGGGGAGGGCAGAGGACAGGUGGCCGCCCCUUGGCCUGGCCUCUAGGCCCAGGCUUCCACCACCCAGUCAGUGUUGCCACAGAUAGGGGACAAGCCCCGCCCAUCUCUCUGCAUCCAGGAGCUCCAGUGUGACGUGUCCGUGGAGGAGGACAGCCGGCAGGAGUGGACCUUCACCCUGUAUGACUUUGACAACAAUGGCAAGGUCACCCGAGAGGACAUCACCAGCUUGCUGCACACCAUCUAUGAGGUGGUGGACUCCUCUGUGAACCACUCCCCGACAUCCAGCAAGAUGCUGCGGGUAAAGCUCACCGUGGCCCCCGAUGGCAGCCAGAGCAAGAGGAGCGUCCUUGUCAAUCAGGCUGACCUGCAGAGCACAAGGCCCCGAGCAGAGACCAAGCCCACUGAGGACCUGCGGAGCUGGGAGAAGAAGCAGCGAGCCCCGCUCAGGUUCCAGGGUGACAGCCGCCUGGAGCAGUCUGGCUGCUACCACCAUUGUGUAGAUGAGAACAUCGAGAGGAGAAACCACUACUUAGAUCUCGCCGGGAUAGAAAACUACACGUCCCAGUUUGGGCCUGGCUCCCCUUCCGUGGCCCAGAAGUCAGAACU
RNAcentral lists this small RNA (748 nucleotides) under Pongo abelii (Sumatran orangutan). RNAcentral's name for it is "retained intron". The record is from RNAcentral. Lineage: Eukaryota; Metazoa; Chordata; Mammalia; Primates; Hominidae.